CGUAGGUGGCAAGCGUUGUUCGGAAUAACUGGGCGUAAAGGAUGCGUAGGCGGUUAAACAAGUUAUAUGUUAAAUAUAUAGGCCUCACCUGUAGAAAGCAUAUAAAACUGUUUAACUAGAGUGCAGGAGAGGUAAGUGGAAUUCCUAGUGUAGCGGUGAAAUGCGUAGAGAUUAGGAAGAACACCAGUGGCGAAGGCGACUUACUGGACUGUAACUGACGCUGAGGCAUGAGAGCAUGGGGAGCAAA
RNAcentral lists this ribosomal RNA (247 nucleotides) under uncultured bacterium. RNAcentral's name for it is "partial 16S ribosomal RNA". It matches the Rfam family "Bacterial small subunit ribosomal RNA", at positions 526 to 772 of the family's 1533-position model. The record is from RNAcentral.